GACGUAGGGGACGAGCGUUGUCCGGAUUCAUUGGGCGUAAAGAGCGCGUAGGCGGCUACGCAAGUCGGUUGUGAAAACCCGGGGCUCAACCCCGGGCCUGCAUCCGAUACUGCGUGGCUAGAGGUAGGUAGGGGAGAUCGGAAUUCCUGGUGUAGCGGUGAAAUGCGCAGAUAUCAGGAGGAACACCGGUGGCGAAGGCGGAUCUCUGGGCCUUACCUGACGCUGAGGCGCGAAAGCUAGGGGAGCGAACAGG
This 253-nucleotide ribosomal RNA is filed under the name uncultured bacterium. RNAcentral describes it as "partial 16S ribosomal RNA". It matches the Rfam family "Bacterial small subunit ribosomal RNA", at positions 524 to 776 of the family's 1533-position model. The record is from RNAcentral.